UACGAAGGGGGCUAGCGUUGCUCGGAAUCACUGGGCGUAAAGCGCACGUAGGCGGACUCUUAAGUCGGUGGUGAAAUCCUGGAGCUCAACUCCAGAACUGCCUUCGAUACUGAGAGUCUCGAGUCCGGGAGAGGUGAGUGGAACUGCGAGUGUAGAGGUGAAAUUCGUAGAUAUUCGCAAGAACACCAGUGGCGAAGGCGGCUCACUGGCCCGGUACUGACGCUGAGGUGCGAAAGCGUGGGGAGCGAUCCGG
RNAcentral lists this ribosomal RNA (253 nucleotides) under uncultured bacterium. Its description in RNAcentral is "partial 16S ribosomal RNA". It matches the Rfam family "Bacterial small subunit ribosomal RNA", at positions 524 to 776 of the family's 1533-position model. The record is from RNAcentral.